UGCACAGUAGUAAUUUGCACCACUAAAUGCCAAACCCCAUACAGUAACUCACAGAAAAGCUAAUGCCUGUGCUUCCCCUCUCUGUCUCUCCUCCACGCCUCCACCACUGUUUCUGCUUGCUGAUGUUGGAGAAGAUGAUCAGGGUUGUUGGUGUCGGUUGGUGGCAUCCAUUUCUGCUGCCUUUUUUUUUUUGUUCAGCCACUUGGCAUUGUGAUCUCCACAGCUGCUCUACAGAUUCCAGAGCUUGCCUGCACCAUUGUCUUCAUUAUGGGUGAGGGUGACAUCCACUUCUGAAACCAAAGCUCUUUCUAGCCUUGCAGGGUGUCUGAGGAGAAGAUAAACACGCUACACAGAAAUCAAUACACAAAGCAUGGUGAUCGGGGAUCACGAUCACGAUGAGAUGAGAUGAAAUACAGGAGGCAGCCUACUAGCUCAGAUUCCACGGUGAGCCAAGGUUCCAUUCCAUCAAUCCCAUGUACGUACUCCCUCUGCAAACUAAUAUAAGAUCAUUUAGAUCGCUACUUUAGUGAUCUAAACGAUCUUAUAUUAGUUUACAGAGGGAGUACUACUUUAUUUACUUAAGUCCAGCUUCAGACAAACCCCCAAGCUUGCUGUCUGUGUGGUGAGCAAGCUGUUUCUUUUCUCACACAAACCCCGGGACUAACAGCAGGUUGACAGAUCUAUUUGUAGCCUCUUAGUAGGUUUUUGCUAUAUGUCAUGACUCAUGACCUAAUCUUUGUUCGCAAUUUGAUGCCUGUCUGCCUGCAGUCAUGAAUUUCUUCAGCAAUCCUCAAAUGAGCUCAUGGUCUGCGUGUGUGCUACAGUGAAAUUAUAUGAUUCAGCAUGUGUAUCAACUCGGACACUUGGUAAACAGAUAUCAACUUGGUGAACGGAUGGAUACGGAAAACUUAUGAUUGAUGCUGGCUUGAUAGGUGCUGUUUGAUCCUCCCCCCUACACAGUCGGUGUCACAACGAACAUUGGAAGUUCAGACGGGAAGUUCACAACUUUUGACUUCGAGUCGCACGCGACCAAGUCAAGACCAAUAAUUCGGGUUAAAAAUAUCAUAAGGGAAAAAUUUAGGGUUGUCUACCUUCUGAACUGAAAGACUAAUACAGUUGUACUUAGCUUAGCACAUUCGAUGAUUCGAUGCUGCACUGUCUUAUUCCUUGUUUCUGUUUUGUGACUGCAGAAUUCAGCAGGGUGAAUUUCCGUUCCGUUUUGAAAACCGAGCAUUCAAAUUUCCGUUUUGCUCAGGUCACCUUGAUAUAUCUAAAUCAUCGUUGGAACUUAGGUUUGCACUGGUAAAAUUAGUAAGCUGUAACUCUAGUAUGCAAAGCUGUUAGGUGCAUGAGGGUGUGCUGUCAAAUUUCUUUUAUAUCUGAAAGGGACCUAUGAGCAAUUGGUGGAAGUACUUGUGUAGGGCUAUAACCCACAGAGCACCAUCUCUACACAUUACUACUACUGCACAGUAGUAAUUUGCACCACUAAAUGCCAAACCCCACACAUAACUCAAGUAAAAGCCAAUGCCUGUGCUUCCUCUCUCUGCCUCUCCUCCACCCCUCCAUCACUGUUUCUACUUGCUGAUGUUGGAGAAGAUGAUUAGGGUUGUUGGUGU
RNAcentral lists this long non-coding RNA (1616 nucleotides) under Triticum aestivum (bread wheat). RNAcentral's name for it is "long non-coding RNA (TAES_LNC004289)". Lineage: Eukaryota; Viridiplantae; Streptophyta; Magnoliopsida; Poales; Poaceae. The record is from RNAcentral.